This 360-nucleotide unclassified non-coding RNA is filed under the name Senecio petraeus. Its description in RNAcentral is "partial contains external transcribed spacer and 18S ribosomal RNA". Lineage: Eukaryota; Viridiplantae; Streptophyta; Magnoliopsida; Asterales; Asteraceae. The record is from RNAcentral.
UGCGUCAUGACUUGUAUCGUCUUGAGCGUAUUGUGGGUUUCCUGUGUUGCAUACCUUUCUAAUGGUAUCGAUUUGAUUGAUCCAAGUCCCUUUUCAUCUUGUGUUGCCUUUGCGAUGCAUGAUGAACCUUGAGGCGGUCUCUAUGUUCCACAACGUUGAUGCUAGUGUUUUGAUGUUGUGGCCCAUUGAGCGUUGCCUGGUUUCGUGGAUACAGAACAUGAUUUGGGCAUAGGGUUACUUGUGACUCUUGUUUUGUCCUUUAUCAGUGUUCUUUAUAACGACGGUUCAUGCGCGCCUAGGCUCGUACCUGCGCGAUGUUCUUUGUCGAAGAGGAAUGCUACCUGGUUGAUCCUGCCAGUA